Molecule: ribosomal RNA, 301 nt
Filed under: uncultured bacterium
Lineage: Bacteria
Description: partial 16S ribosomal RNA
Rfam family: Bacterial small subunit ribosomal RNA
Source: RNAcentral
CAGCAGCCGCGGGAAUACGUAGGGUGCAAGCGUUGUCCGGAAUUAUUGGGCGUAAAGAGCUCGUAGGCGGUUUGUCGCGUCUGCUGUGAAAUCCCGAGGCUCAACCUCGGGCUUGCAGUGGGUACGGGCAGACUAGAGUGCGGUAGGGGAGAUUGGAAUUCCUGGUGUAGCGGUGGAAUGCGCAGAUAUCAGGAGGAACACCGAUGGCGAAGGCAGAUCUCUGGGCCGUAACUGACGCUGAGGAGCGAAAGCGUGGGGAGCGAACAGGAUUAGAUACCCCCGUAGUCCCUGUCUCUUAUAA